UCCUACGGGGCGCAGCAGUGAGGAAUAUUGGUCAAUGGGCUUACGCCUGAACCAGCCAAGUCGCGUGAGGGAAGACUGCCCUAUGGGUUGUAAACCUCUUUUGUCAGGGAGCAAUUGGCGCUACGUGUAGCGUUAUCGAGAGUACCUGAAGAAAAAGCAUCGGCUAACUCCGUGCCAGCAGCCGCGGUAAUACGGAGGAUGCGAGCGUUAUCCGGAUUUAUUGGGUUUAAAGGGUGCGCAGGCGGUCUGUUAAGUCAGCGGUCAAAGCCCGGGGCUCAACCCCGGCCCGCCGUUGAAACUGGCAG
RNAcentral lists this ribosomal RNA (305 nucleotides) under uncultured bacterium. Its description in RNAcentral is "bacterial SSU rRNA". It matches the Rfam family "Bacterial small subunit ribosomal RNA", at positions 337 to 639 of the family's 1533-position model. The record is from RNAcentral.